Molecule: ribosomal RNA, 278 nt
Filed under: Enterobacter sp. FES46
Lineage: Bacteria; Pseudomonadati; Pseudomonadota; Gammaproteobacteria; Enterobacterales; Enterobacteriaceae
Description: partial 16S ribosomal RNA
Rfam family: Bacterial small subunit ribosomal RNA
Source: RNAcentral
AACGCGAAGAACCUUACCUGGUCUUGACAUCCACAGAACUUACCAGAGAUGGUUUGGUGCCUUCGGGAACUGUGAGACAGGUGCUGCAUGGCUGUCGUCAGCUCGUGUUGUGAAAUGUUGGGUUAAGUCCCGCAACGAGCGCAACCCUUAUCCUUUGUUGCCAGCGGUCCGGCCGGGAACUCAAAGGAGACUGCCAGUGAUAAACUGGAGGAAGGUGGGGAUGACGUCAAGUCAUCAUGGCCCUUACGACCAGGGCUACACACGUGCUACAAUGGCCC